UUUUAAGCAAACACACACACCCUUUGUUCCCUUCCCCAAUAAACUCCUCGUGGGUUUGUGAGUCUCGUGGUUGUGUUUCAUUGUGAGCACAACUGAAACAGAAGAACAACAAAACCAGGUGUGGUGGUCAGGCCAGGUGUGGUGGCACAUGUCUCAUCAAAGAGAUUAAGUGGUAGAGACAGGUUUUUCUGUGAGUUGGAAUCCAGCCUGGUCUACAUAGAGAGCUCCAAGUCUAGAUAGAGAGAUCUUGUCUCAAAAAAAAAAAAAAAAAAAACAGAAAGGGAGAUUCAAGGAUCAUUAUUGUGAUUAUUAUUAGUUUAUUCUGAAAAGCUUUGUGGCAGCAAAGUGUAAAAAAUGCGCAGAUUUCUGGGCACAUAAACUGCAAGGAAACAGAACACCUGCAAAGAUGAGUGAAGAGGAAUGAGAUAAAAAGUCUUUCUACAAAGAAAACCCUCAGUCUGGGUAGAGUCGAUGCUGAAUUUUAUCAAAUCUUUAUAGCGCUGAUCCCAAGAACUGGCCUGAGUUACCUGAAUAUCAAAACCAGAGAAGGUGCCCAGCAAUACGGCUCAGCUGGUAAUGGCACUUCCUGGAGCCACAUGGUGGAUACUAUACUCCAGCAGGUUAUCCUCUGACCUCUACAUUUGAGACACACACGUACAUGAAAACAGGUGUUUUUACACACACACACACACACACACAGAGAGAGAGAGAGAGAGAGAGAGAGAGAGAGAGAAACAGCCAAGCGGUGGUGGUGCACCCCUUUAACCCCAGCACUCAGGAGACAGAGGCAGGAGGAUCUCUGUGAGUUCUAGGACAGCCAGGGAUACACAGAGAAACCCUGUCUACAAACAAAUAAACAACCCCAAAGAAACAGUAACAACAACAACAAAACCCAUUUUGACUAACUAACAAUAUUUGACGAACAUGGAUGCAAAAUUUCUCAAGCAAAACCUAACAGUAUAUACACAGGGAUCCAACAAAAGAAAAUCAAUAAAUACAGUAAAUCAGCUGGGAGUGGCUCACCCCUAUAAUUCCAGAACUCAGGAAGCUGAGGCUGGAGAACUGCCAUCGGUGUAAGGCCAGCCUGAACAGCAUAGUUCCAGGCCAGCCUUAGCAACACACUGAGAUCUCCAUCUCAAAAACAAAACAAAAUAAGAACAACAACAAAACACAGGGCUGGAAAGAUGGCUGGCGGAGUGUGUGUGUGUGUGUGUGUGUGUGUGUGUGUGUGUGUUUUGUAUGACAUUUGCCUUACAGGGCUGAUGAGCUGAGUUCAGUCCCCAGAGCCCACGUAAAGGUGGAAGAAAGAGAAAAGACUCCACAAGGCUGUCCUCUGACCCCCACGUGUAUGCCAUGUCACCUAUAUGCUCACACAUAAUCCAUAAAAAUUUAGUAAAUUAAAAAAAACUCCCAAAAUACACAUCAACGGAAUGAAAAACAAAAACUGUAUAAUCACACAGCAUGAUGAUCACUUGUGAGGCUGAGGUUUGAGAAUCUCUAUGGGUUCCAGGCCAACAUGCCUGGUCUACAUAGCAAGUCCCAGGACAGCUAAUGUGGGGGUCCCUGUAAGGAAACUCAGUUCAGCAUGACAUAACCAGGCUAGUUGAAACUUCUAGAGUCUUGAGUAGUUUUCUUUUUUUUUUAAGAUUUAUUUUUAUGUGCAUUUGGUGUUUUGCUUGCAUGUAUGUGAAGGUGCCAGAUACCCUGGAGCUGGAGUUACAGACAAUUGUGAGCUGCUAUGUGGGUGCUGGGAGCUGAACCCACAGGCCCUCUGGAAGAGCAACCUUAGUGCUCUUAACUGCUGAGCCAUCUCUGCAGCCCCCUGGAGUGGUUUAUUUUUUACUUAUUUAAAAGUGCAGUAAAACUUCAUCAUUUCCUCAUGACAACUGUCACAACAAAGCUUACAGCAUGGCUACAGUGAAACUCCGUUGCAAAGCACAUCUCUUGCAAAAUGCCUGUGAGCUCUUCCACAAGGAUGGGUUCUAUUGACUGAGAGGCAGUGCUCAGGAUAAGGGGGAUUCCGGUGAGGACUGACUCUACAGAAUAGCAAAAGAUCACUAGGUUGUUAAACAACACCCAUUCCAACCUUCCGGGAGAAUGGUGUCUAUUUCUUCUGUUGAAGAGAAAAGCCUGUGUGUUUCACAAUGCUAUCUGUAAGACUUUGUGCCCUCUACAAGCCAAGGCUACAUAGAGAAACCCUGUCUUAGAAAGCUUAAAUAAAAAUAAAUAAAGUUUAAAAUCUUAAAACAAAACCAAACAAAAUCAGCCAAGAUGUGGUGUGUGCUUGUAAUCCCAGAGCUGGGGGUAGGAGAAUAAAUUGGGAGACACUGGGAAGAGAACAAACAAACAAGGGUAAGUAUGGCACCCCAACAACAUUGCCCUUGUCCUCUGGCUUCCAUUAUCUCCCCCACAAACAUGCAUCCUUACAAACACCCCACCCACCAACCCCCCCCACAGAAUUAAAGGUUCAGAAAGGCAGAUGUUGUGGUUGUCAGGGCCUGAGGACAGGUUGGAGGGCUUAGGCAGUGUGAGAGCGGAGGCAUCAGGAAAUAGGUUGUAGGACUGGGUAUAGGUACAGGAGGAUUGGUAUACAGGAUGAGUGGGAGAUGGGGAGAAGGUGGUGAAACUCAGAGGAAAGAAAUAAUGAGAGCUGACCUUGGUGGAAAGGUUGUAAGACAGCCAUCAGCCAUCUGGGCUGAGUGGCUUCUUGGGUGUUGGAUCCAGGAAAAGCAGAGGUGAUGACAGUAGGGGACCAAGGGCAGUUUCCAAGUCAUGAUUCAUUAUAUUUUAUAGUGCUCUAACACCUAGUUCUCAGCGCAUUCUGAUGGCGUUGGUACUAUUAGAACUAUCUUCUAACAGAGGGGAGGCAGCCUUGACAGAGACCACAGUGAGUCCCCCAGACCUCAGAAGAGCCAAUUCCAGUGUUCUGUUGUCAUCACCCCUGGGUGCUAGUCUACUAGUGGCCACCAGGGGGCAGAAAGAGGCCAGGAAUUCAGAUAGGCCGCGGCUUUCUUGAACUUCCCUAAGCCUUUCUUUGUGCAAAAGGGUUUGAUGAUCAAAUGGUUUGACCUCUGUUUUUUAUUUUGCCACAGAAUAAACUCAGACCCAGAGAGGAACAGUGACUAACCCAGGCUACAGGACCAAUCACAGGCAGAAGUGAGGCCUGCACUCUCACCCUGCCAGCAGCUUUGUCUGGGAAGGUGAGAGACACAGUGCGUAAGGAUUCUGAGCCCAGUCUGUCACUCCACCCACAGACAUGGAGGCUCCACACAGCCCACACUGCCCAGCACACAAAAAGGGUAGAGCAGCCAUUUCCUGAGUGAGACUCAUGACCAAGUACCUGAGAGCCUGGUACAGGGCCUAUUCUGAGAAUGAUGACCAGGACAGAAACACCAGGCAUGGACCUCACAGGAAGUAGCUGCUACAUUGUUGCUGGUGUCAUUAGGAGCAUGCUAUCCAGCAGUCCCUCUAGGAAGGUGUCUGCCUGUCACAUCAUUCACAGGUGUGAUGAGGAAGCCAAAAAUUCUCAGCAGCCCUGGGCUGUGAUGCACACUCUCCCUGCCCGAGUAGGCCUCCCCUCAUAGCUCAUUGGCUCCACUGGGAGCUCUGAGCCUGGCCCUAUGGUGGUUACCUGGUGCCACACCUGGACCCCCUGAGGUAAAUGAUAGGUGAAUAGAACAAGCAGAAACUUAAGCAGGUCAGGCCCAGGGCUCCCAGAAUCCCCAGACUGGGCCCUGAACAGCAAGCCCAGGGUACAGAAGGCCAUUCCUGGAAAUGUGGCUUGUGCCACCCCUGCCUAUCCAGAAUUAUACAGCACCAGUCAGGGCAUCCCCCAGAGGGCAUCCUGCCUUGGGGAUAGCCUUGGGGGCACCCCUCAGUCCGGGGCUACUUUGGGAUUAUCGGGGUCUGUUGAGAAGAAGGCUCGUGCCAGUGGUAGUAGAGGUGGCUUAGCACUCCUGAAUCUCCCUUUGCUGUCUGAGUCGGUGUGGGCUAGUAAGAGCAGGGGUCACUUCUGGCACUCCUUUUGUCUGGCUUUGGGGAUAUCCUAGUCAGGGGACAGGAGCCUAAACUCCUACUUUAGGAUGAUCUGUACAGAUACUGGCCAUGUAUCAAAGACUGCGAGCUCAAUCUGCAACAAGGUUCAGCCCUGCCCCUCGCUUGCCCUCCUGGGUACAGUGGAGGGCCCUGGAGUGGGCUGCACCUCCUAGAGAGAACAGUUGCUCCUCCCGAGUCCCUGCAGGCCUGGGCAGCCCCUCUGCACUGGGCUGGAUUGAGACUUGAUGCUGGCCUGCACUGGGACCAGCCCUGUCUGAAUGAAAGAGCCCCAUUGAGAUGGCCUCUUGUCUAGACACAGGCCCUGAGUGCUUGCUCAGGGGGAGGCAGGAUCCGGUUAGACCCAAGAGGCCUGGUGUUCCCUUCAUGGACCUCUGGGUGCUGGGUCACAGCUAUGGCAACCAACCCAUCCUCAGGGCCCAUCCCCACUCUACAAUCAGGGUUCCUUUCCCAAAUGCCCACUUUGGUUGAACCCGAAUUCCUCUGAGAGUAUUUUCUUCUUCACCAUAGACCCAGAUCUAUCUAGUCUGCACUUCGGACAAACUAUCGCCACAAGGUAGACAAUCUGCCCCAACACUGUGAAACCAGGUGACCUGGAUGCCCUGGAGGAGGGACAGUAAUGGAAAGCUCAGAAGCCCCAGAGUCCUAUGUAGUGCGGGGUGACAAUUGCUUCUUCCCCUAAAUGCCUACCUCGGGCAGCCAAGAAAGUGUCCCAGACUGGGCAUUACCUCAAGGCCCCUCGACAUCGUCCUGAGGCCAUGUAAGGACCUGACCUAAUCUGGCCCUGAGGUCAGGUUCCUCAGCUGAGGAUCGGUAAGGCUGAAGAAGGCGGCUGGCUUGGCGGGAGGCCUCCUUUGUACCAAGUCUUUUCUCAACGGUGGAGCUAGGCUGCCUGCCAGGUGCCAGGGUGCGGCUCUGGCCUCCCGCCCCACAAGCGGCUUUGCCGCCAAGCCCUGUACCUGGCUCUGCAGCAAUUUCCCGCGCUUCUUCUGCCAGGCCCGGCAAAGUGAGAGGCAGGGUGUUGUGGGGAAGACAAAGUAGGCGGGCUCCCAGCUCACCCAGCCCACAACUCUGGCAGGGAUUUUGAGCCUAUACAAAAGGACUGACUAGGGCUUUGGCAUUUAAAAUUGAACUCUCUCUCUCUCUCUCUCUCUCUCUCUCUCUCUCUCUCUCUCUCACACACACACACACACACACACACACACACACACACACACGUACGUAUAUACUCUUGCUCAGUAAAAUAGAACCUCAGCCCCACCAUGUAUUAGCUGUUGGACAGGGACAAGCCACUUAACCACAGAGCAUCAUUUUGGUUUGAAAAGGGAGGACAAUACUUGUUUGUAACUUAGGUUAUCGGGAUGACCAGAUAUUUGCCCAGGCCACUCUCAGAACCAAAUCUUUGGACUUGAAGAGCUGUGGAGGUCCUGGCCAUGGCUAUGGUGUUGCUAUCAAUGGGGAGAAUGCUCACAAACAUGCUUGGUUACACAGAAACAGAACUUCAUAACAAGUCUUCAGAGGUGUCACAUGGAAACCAAGAACAGGGGACAGCCAGGCCUAAAGGGGAAUGUGUUUGUGUGUGCACACAUACUGUUGUAGAUGUGGAAGUCAGUGGACAACGGGAAGGGGUCAGUCUUCUCUGUCCACUGUGUGGAGUCCUGGGGUCAAGCAUGUCAUCAAGCCUGGUGGCAGGAACCUUACUUAACUGCUAAAUCAAAUCACCAGCCGAAGGGCCAGGAUCUUAAAUACAAGUCACCGAGUGGCCAGAUGUUCCUCCAUCUCUCUGGCCCUGGCUGCCUCCCGCUAGCCUUUCCCUGAAUUUCCACAUUGUUCUCGUCUCUCUUGGCAGAUCCUCUGUGUCUCUGAACACAUAGCCGAGCAGCAGAAAUGAACUAAACAUGUCCCCAGAAGACCAUGUGCUGGGAGUCUGGCCCAGGGCAGCAGAGCUGAGGUGAUGGCAUUUGGAGGUAGAGCCUGAAGCAAGAUGAUGAGGUCAUCAGGAGCCCCGCCCUUGGAAGGAAACAAUGUAGUUCUUAGGGGACGCUGGUUGAGAGGAGCUCUGCAGAUGAGGCCCUCUUGACCCUAUGCCUUCCUGAGAGCUCUUCUGAAUAUGUUUGUCACUGUGAAGCUGUCCUGUUACGAUAAAUCCCUCUGCCAAAAGCCGCCCGAGCCCCACCGCCUCGUGGGAGCUCCACGCCAGCCGCCCGCCAGAGUCAGGGCCCAAAUGAAUACACAGAAACUUGUAUUAGGUACAAUGCUGCUUGGCCAAUGACUAGGAUUCUCAUCUGUUAGCUCAGUCUUAACUAUCAUAAACCUAUAUAUUUUAUAAGACUUACCUUAUCAGACGCCUUAUUGGCAUCCCUCCUUGCUGGUGGAUCACAUCAUGCCGCUGGAGCAGGAGC
RNAcentral lists this long non-coding RNA (6455 nucleotides) under Cricetulus griseus (Chinese hamster). RNAcentral describes it as "lncRNA (ENSCGRG00015043177.1)". Lineage: Eukaryota; Metazoa; Chordata; Mammalia; Rodentia; Cricetidae. The record is from RNAcentral.